Molecule: ribosomal RNA, 468 nt
Filed under: uncultured bacterium
Lineage: Bacteria
Description: partial 16S ribosomal RNA
Rfam family: Bacterial small subunit ribosomal RNA
Source: RNAcentral
GACGAACGCUGGCGGCGUGCUUAACACAUGCAAGUCGAACGGAAAGGCCCUGCUUUUGUGGGGUGCUCGAGUGGCGAACGGGUGAGUAACACGUGAGUAACCUGCCCUUGACUUUGGGAUAACUUCAGGAAACUGGGGCUAAUACCGGAUAGGAGCUCCUGCUGCAUGGUGGGGGUUGGAAAGUUUCGGCGGUUGGGGAUGGACUCGCGGCUUAUCAGCUUGUUGGUGGGGUAGUGGCUUACCAAGGCUUUGACGGGUAGCCGGCCUGAGAGGGUGACCGGCCACAUUGGGACUGAGAUACGGCCCAGACUCCUACGGGAGGCAGCAGUGGGGAAUAGUGCACAAUGGGCGGAAGCCUGAUGCAGCAACGCCGCGUGCGGGAUGACGGCCUUCGGGUUGUAAACCGCUUUCGCCUGUGACGAGGCGUGAGUGACGGUAAUGGGUAAAGAAGCACCGGCUAACUACGUG